Molecule: non-coding RNA, 89 nt
Filed under: Desulfoscipio geothermicus
Lineage: Bacteria; Bacillati; Bacillota; Clostridia; Eubacteriales; Desulfallaceae
Also listed under: 1 other name
Description: GEMM cis-regulatory element
Rfam family: c-di-GMP-I riboswitch aptamer
About the family: GEMM was predicted in a large-scale screen for bacterial structured RNA regulatory elements. Genes associated with GEMM are involved in a diverse array of functions, including chemotaxis regulation, signal transduction, secretion and chitin.
Source: RNAcentral
UACUAUAAAAGGCAAACUUUCCCGAAAGGGAGGGACGCAAAGCCACGGGCCUGCAGGUAGUAAUAUACCAUGGUAGCCGGGCUGCCUUA